CCAGACAGCCAGGAUGUUGGCUUAGAAGCAGCCAUCAUUUAAAGAAAGCGUAAUAGCUCACUGGUCGAGUCGGCCUGCGCGGAAGAUGUAACGGGGCUAAACCAUGCACCGAAGCUGCGGCAGCGACACUAUGUGUUGUUGGGUAGGGGAGCGUUCUGUAAGCCUGCGAAGGUGUGCUGUGAGGCAUGCUGGAGGUAUCAGAAGUGCGAAUGCUGACAUAAGUAACGAUAAAGCGGGUGAAAAGCCCGCUCGCCGGAAGACCAAGGGUUCCUGUCCAACGUUAAUCGGGGCAGGGUGAGUCGACCCCUAAGG
This 312-nucleotide ribosomal RNA is filed under the name Escherichia coli. RNAcentral describes it as "bacterial LSU rRNA". It matches the Rfam family "Bacterial large subunit ribosomal RNA", at positions 1085 to 1396 of the family's 2925-position model. Lineage: Bacteria; Pseudomonadati; Pseudomonadota; Gammaproteobacteria; Enterobacterales; Enterobacteriaceae. The record is from RNAcentral.